This 497-nucleotide ribosomal RNA is filed under the name uncultured bacterium. RNAcentral's name for it is "partial 16S ribosomal RNA". It matches the Rfam family "Bacterial small subunit ribosomal RNA", at positions 28 to 507 of the family's 1533-position model. The record is from RNAcentral.
GAUGAACGCUGGCGGCGUGCCUAAUACAUGCAAGUCGAGCGAACAGACGAGGAGCUUGCUCCUCUGACGUUAGCGGCGGACGGGUGAGUAACACGUGGAUAACCUACCUAUAAGACUGGGAUAACUUCGGGAAACCGGAGCUAAUACCGGAUAAUAUAUUGAACCGCAUGGUUCAAUAGUGAAAGACGGUUUUGCUGUCACUUAUAGAUGGAUCCGCGCCGCAUUAGCUAGUUGGUAAGGUAACGGCUUACCAAGGCAACGAUGCGUAGCCGACCUGAGAGGGUGAUAGGCCACCCUGGAACUGAGACGCGGUCCAGACUCCUACGGGAGGCAGCGGUAGGGAAUCUUCCGCAAUGGGCGAAAGCUUGACGGAGCAACGCCGCGUGGGUGAUGAAGGUCUUCGGAUCGUAAAACUCUGUUAUUAGGGAAGAACAAAUGUGUAAGUAACUAUGCACGUCUUGACGGUACCUAAUCAGAAAGCCACGGCUAACUACGUG